This 253-nucleotide ribosomal RNA is filed under the name uncultured bacterium. RNAcentral's name for it is "partial 16S ribosomal RNA". It matches the Rfam family "Bacterial small subunit ribosomal RNA", at positions 524 to 776 of the family's 1533-position model. The record is from RNAcentral.
UACGGAGGGAGCUAGCGUUGCUCGGAAUUACUGGGCGUAAAGCGCACGUAGGCGGCUUUCUAAGUCGGGGGUGAAAUCCUGGAGCUCAACUCCAGAACUGCCUUCGAUACUGGAGAGCUUGAGUCCGGGAGAGGUGAGUGGAACUGCGAGUGUAGAGGUGAAAUUCGUAGAUAUUCGCAAGAACACCAGUGGCGAAGGCGGCUCACUGGCCCGGUACUGACGCUGAGGUGCGAAAGCGUGGGGAGCAAACGGG